Molecule: unclassified non-coding RNA, 381 nt
Filed under: Hevea brasiliensis (rubber tree)
Lineage: Eukaryota; Viridiplantae; Streptophyta; Magnoliopsida; Malpighiales; Euphorbiaceae
Source: RNAcentral
AAAAAAAAAAAAUUGAGUCCUAAUAAUAUGAAAAUUUCAACCAUAAGAGAAAUAUGUUUACAAGCAGUUUGAUUGGGAAAGGGAGGAAAAAAUUCACAGGAAUGUCAUUUAGUCAGGACAAGUCAUUCAGAUUGGGAAAAGGAAUGAGGGGAUAAAGGAACAGCAUAAGCAUCUCCAAAGGAGAUGUAGCAAAAUGCGUACAAGCUAUGGCCUUGAGAAAGCAGAGAUAGGGUUGUCAACUUCAGACGUGCAGGAUUUUGACCAAAGUAAAACCUUCCAACACCAACAGACUGAAAUUCUCACCCUCCAGCCAAAUUACCUAAAUUUUAAUUUCAGGGGGUAAUUUCAGUUAGACAAGUAGAGCACGUUAGGUUAGAGGAU